Molecule: ribosomal RNA, 273 nt
Filed under: uncultured Ralstonia sp.
Lineage: Bacteria; Pseudomonadati; Pseudomonadota; Betaproteobacteria; Burkholderiales; Burkholderiaceae
Description: partial 16S ribosomal RNA
Rfam family: Bacterial small subunit ribosomal RNA
Source: RNAcentral
UACGUAGGGUCCAAGCGUUAAUCGGAAUUACUGGGCGUAAAGCGUGCGCAGGCGGUUGUGCAAGACCGAUGUGAAAUCCCCGAGCUUAACUUGGGAAUUGCAUUGGUGACUGCACGGCUAGAGUGUGUCAGAAGGGGGUAGAAUUCCACGUGUAGCAGUGAAAUGCGUAGAGAUGUGGAGGAAUACCGAUGGCGAAGGCAGCCCCCCGGGAUAACACUGACGCUCAUGCACGAAAGCGUGGGGAGCAAACAGGAUUAGAAACCCCAGUAGUCC